UGAAGAGUGCAGCCAAUUGCAUUAAUUAUUGCAAAUUGCAGAAUUCCGUGAGUCAUUUUUCUUGAAUGUAGGCAUACUCCUGGGCCAUUCCUGAGAGCAUUAUUUGUUCAGUGUUCAUU
RNAcentral lists this ribosomal RNA (119 nucleotides) under Ostreopsis cf. siamensis 142EHU. RNAcentral describes it as "5.8S ribosomal RNA". It matches the Rfam family "5.8S ribosomal RNA", at positions 37 to 154 of the family's 154-position model. From Rfam's summary of the family: 5.8S ribosomal RNA (5.8S rRNA) is a component of the large subunit of the eukaryotic ribosome. It is transcribed by RNA polymerase I as part of the 45S precursor that also contains 18S and 28S rRNA. Functionally, it is thought that 5.8S rRNA may be involved in ribosome translocation. RNAcentral also lists the same sequence under 17 other names. The record is from RNAcentral. Lineage: Eukaryota; Dinophyceae; Peridiniales; Ostreopsidaceae.